Dermacentor albipictus is the source of this 474-nucleotide non-coding RNA. The record is from RefSeq and is a predicted model, not a curated record. Lineage: Eukaryota; Metazoa; Arthropoda; Arachnida; Ixodida; Ixodidae.
CUGGACACAACCCGACCGAAGCCCGAUUCGAUUCUACCUGACCAACCGACCAACCUAGAGAAAUGUUCUAGACCGAACAUGUGCGGUAGAAGCAUAUGCCACCCGUGCAACUGAGAUCACAACGAUGGACGCCCGGGACCACUACUGGCUACACCGUGCACUUAUCCGUGGCCUGAAACUCGACCGCUGUUCCGUUAUGAGCAUUCCUCGUCGUCCUUUUUCGAGCAUGCCAGCUGGAGCAAGAGCGGCACGUGCUGCUUUGAUUGCGGGCGACGUUUGGUUGGCCGCCCCCGGUUUUCUACGCGGGUGCUCCAGCCCCGCGUGUUGGUCGCUAACGUCGGUACUCCCCGUAAUAAUCGUCGUGUAGCUCAGAAUUGAGGGAACGGCCGGCACGACGAUGGCGGGAGCGCGCAAUAAAGGUAAUGGAUGCCGCGGCACGGACGAGUUGACGUUACGCGUGCCGCUGAAGGACAA